AAAAGUGCACUCACCACUCCAAUCGCUAAAGGUUGUUGUCGGUAAGCUAUUGCUAGGAAGUCUCGGGAACUUGAUCGAAAAGUACAUCAAGCUCUCACUACUCUCUUCUUCAGAUGGUCAUCCUCAAAAAGCUCUGUAACCCUUGCUUUUUGAAACCUAUCCAAGAUAAGGUAGUUUGAUGGGUUUGGAUCCAAAUUCUCAGUAUCUCUCUUGUUCUUCAAAUGUUUCUGCUAGUUCUUGCAAAUUAGAAGAUAAAGUGUAAACGGAGAAUUUAGAAACUGAAACAAGGAAUGGAAAGCCAUCACCUGUAGUUGUGCAUGAGCUUGCAAAGGAAAUUGGCUUACAAGAAGAUGAGAAAUCAUUACAAUGAAGCGAUGCUGAAAAUCAUGAAGAUGAUAUCAUUUAAAUCAUUAGGAGGUUGAACUAGGCUUUUGUUGAUGAUGGUUUCUUUUUGUAGUCAUUGCAUUGAUAUUUGUUUUUAUG
Molecule: long non-coding RNA, 483 nt
Organism: Vitis riparia (riverbank grape)
Lineage: Eukaryota; Viridiplantae; Streptophyta; Magnoliopsida; Vitales; Vitaceae
Exons: 3
Source: RefSeq, a predicted model, not a curated record